Molecule: long non-coding RNA, 374 nt
Organism: Notolabrus celidotus (New Zealand spotty)
Lineage: Eukaryota; Metazoa; Chordata; Actinopteri; Labriformes; Labridae
Exons: 3
Source: RefSeq, a predicted model, not a curated record
UUUGCAUGCAGAUUCUCAGCAUGUCAGCUGAUUGGACGUACUUUAACAUGGUGGGAACAAACCGCAGAAACAGCUGUUUGAAGAGCUCGUAAAGCACAGUUUCUGCCAUGCUGUGUCUAUCAAACAUUUUUGAUAUGAAAUAUAUCUGCAAGAUUUUGAUGAAAAUCUGGUGCUUUCCAGAUGAGUAAUAAAACAGCCUGGAAGAGGCCUGCCGGUGUGUCUGCUAAGCCCACAUGGUGACUCUGGACCCGGAGCCAUUUUGCUCAGAGUCGGCUCGGACCACAAACAUAAAAAGAAGACUUACCAGCGGGCUGGACGGCGGCCCAUGGUUGCAAUCUGUAAAUGGACAAAUAAAAAAGUGUUAUUUACUGAAA